GAUGAACGCUGGCGGCGUGCUUAACACAUGCAAGUCGAACGAAGCACUUUCUUAAGCUUGCUUUUGAAAGUGACUGAGUGGCGGACGGGUGAGUAACGCGUGGGUAACCUACCUCAUACAGGGGGAUAACAGUUAGAAAUGACUGCUAAUACCGCAUAAAAUGGCAGCUUCGCAUGAAGCAACCAUCAAAGAUUUANCGGUAUGAGAUGGACCCCGCGUCUGAUUAGCUAGUUGGUAAGGUAACGGCUUACCAAGGCGACGAUCAGUAGCCGACCUGAGAGGGUGACCGGCCACAUUGGGACUGAGACACGGCCCAGACUCCUACGGGAGGCAGCAGUGGGGAUAUUGCACAAUGGAGGAAACUCUGAUGCAGCAACGCCGCGUGA
This 386-nucleotide ribosomal RNA is filed under the name uncultured bacterium. Its description in RNAcentral is "bacterial SSU rRNA". It matches the Rfam family "Bacterial small subunit ribosomal RNA", at positions 28 to 404 of the family's 1533-position model. The record is from RNAcentral.